This 253-nucleotide ribosomal RNA is filed under the name uncultured bacterium. RNAcentral describes it as "partial 16S ribosomal RNA". It matches the Rfam family "Bacterial small subunit ribosomal RNA", at positions 524 to 776 of the family's 1533-position model. The record is from RNAcentral.
UACGUAGGGUGCAAGCGUUGUCCGGAAUUAUUGGGCGUAAAGAGCUCGUAGGCGGUCUGUCGCGUCGGCUGUGAAAUCCCGAGGCUCAACCUCGGGUCUGCAGUCGAUACGGGCAAACUAGAGUAUUGCAGGGGAGACUGGAAUUCCUGGUGUAGCGGUGGAAUGCGCAGAUAUCAGGAGGAACACCGGUGGCGAAGGCGGGUCUCUGGGCAGUAACUGACGCUGAGGAGCGAAAGCGUGGGGAGCGAACAGG